GGUACGGCGGGCGGUCCAGGACGGCGACAGCGGAGGGAUAUUACCGAGUUUACAACUCCCAAACCCAAUGUGAACGUUACCAAACUGUUGCCUCGGCGGGAUCUCUGCCCCGGGUGCGUCGCAGCCCCGGACCAAGGCGCCCGCCGGAGGACCAACCAAAACUCUUAUUGUAUACCCCCUCGCGGGUUUUUUUAUAAUCUGAGCCUUCUCGGCGCCUCUCGUAGGCGUUUCGAAAAUGAAUCAAAACUUUCAACAACGGAUCUCUUGGUUCUGGCAUCGAUGAAGAACGCAGCGAAAUGCGAUAAGUAAUGUGAAUUGCAGAAUUCAGUGAAUCAUCGAAUCUUUGAACGCACAUUGCGCCCGCCAGUAUUCUGGCGGGCAUGCCUGUCCGAGCGUCAUUUCAACCCUCGAACCCCUCCGGGGGGUCGGCGUUGGGGAUCGGCCCUGCCUUGGCGGUGGCCGUCUCCGAAAUACAGUGGCGGUCUCGCCGCAGCCUCUCCUGCGCAGUAGUUUGCACACUCGCAUCGGGAGCGCGGCGCGUCCACAGCCGUUAAACACCCAACUUCUGAAAUGUUGACCUCGGAUCAGGUAGGAAUACCCGCUGAACUUAAGCAUAUCAAUAAGCGGAGGAAAAGAAACCAACAGGGAUUGCCCANNUAACGGCGGCUUGGUAUUUUUGAGGAGUUAUUUGAAUUGGUUCUGUAUAAAAGCAAAUGUGUUGGAAAAUUUGAAAGGAUUAAUAGAAAAGUCUUGAUGGAGGAGAUGUUUAGUUUGGGUAUAAAGAAUAAAAGGUUAUUUUGUGANUGGAGGGCGGUAUGUGAAUUGGGAAA
This 830-nucleotide small RNA is filed under the name Trichoderma lixii. RNAcentral's name for it is "eukaryotic LSU rRNA". The stretch from base 245 to 398 matches the Rfam family "5.8S ribosomal RNA". The record is from RNAcentral. Lineage: Eukaryota; Fungi; Ascomycota; Sordariomycetes; Hypocreales; Hypocreaceae.